AAUAGAUACCCUGGUAGUCCACGCCGUAAACGAUGAGUGCUAGGUGUUGGGGGCUUCCUGUCCUCAGUGCCGAAGGAAACCCAAUAAGCACUCCGCCUGGGGAGUACGGCCGCAAGGCUGAAACUCAAAGGAAUUGACGGGGGCCCGCACAAGCGGUGGAGCAUGUGGUUUAAUUCGAAGCAACGCGAAGAACCUUACCAAGGCUUGACAUCCCGCUGAUCCCUCUAGAGAUAGAGGUUCCCUUCGGGGCAGCGGUGACAGGUGGUGCAUGGUUGUCGUCAGCUCGUGUCGUGAGAUGUUGGGUUCAGUCCCGCAACGAGCGCAACCCUUAUCCUUAGUUGCCAGCAUUAAGUUGGGCUCUCUAAGGAGACAGCCGGUGAAAGCCGGAGGAAGGUGGGGAUGACGUCAAAUCAUCAUGCCCCUUACGUCUUGGGCUACACACGUGCUACAAUGGAUGGUACAAAGGGCAGCGAACCCGCGAGGGGGAGCGAAUCCCAGAAAGCCAUUCUCAGUUCGGAUUGUAGGCUGCAACUCG
This 535-nucleotide ribosomal RNA is filed under the name uncultured bacterium. RNAcentral's name for it is "bacterial SSU rRNA". It matches the Rfam family "Bacterial small subunit ribosomal RNA", at positions 777 to 1314 of the family's 1533-position model. The record is from RNAcentral.